GGAUAGAAAAAUGAUGAUAACCUUGCCUUGAACUCUCUCUCUGAUUUUGUGAUGGACUAUCCAAGGUCUGAUCUAUUC
Molecule: small nucleolar RNA, 78 nt
Organism: Elgaria multicarinata webbii
Lineage: Eukaryota; Metazoa; Chordata; Lepidosauria; Squamata; Anguidae
Product: small nucleolar RNA SNORD81
Exons: 1
Source: RefSeq, a predicted model, not a curated record